This is a long non-coding RNA of Rhododendron vialii, 1304 nucleotides long. RefSeq lists it as uncharacterized. The record is from RefSeq and is a predicted model, not a curated record. The transcript is spliced from 3 exons. NCBI's taxonomy places the organism in Eukaryota, Viridiplantae, Streptophyta, Magnoliopsida, Ericales, Ericaceae.
UCUGUGAAGAGGGGAGAGAGAGAGAGAGAGAGAGAGAGAGAAAAGAAGAAGAAGAAGAAGAAGAAUAAUGGAGAAGGCGGCAAAAAUGAUUUGCUCCAGUAGUGGGGUUUUUUGGGCUUUUAUCUGUUGCUUUGGGUCUUGCUGCGGACGCAACGAGGAUAAAGGGAGUAUUAGCUAGUAGAAGCACAAAGUUCAGUUGAGUCUGUCUCCGACUCUCCACGUGCAGCAUCGGUUUGAGUGGUAAAACGCUGGUUGAAUGAGACGAUCAAGUUUAAUGAAGUUGCAAUUGUCUAUUGUUGUAAGUUUUUAUAUGGACUGCCUGAUACAUCAUUAGUUUUGAGGAUUGUCCAUAUUUCAGUCGCUUCACAUCUAGAAUGACCGAGACUUCAACAGUUCUUGACAUGGUCAUUGAUUACUAACCUGCGAAAAUGUCAAUCGCUCCUUCAUAGUCUGGAGUAAUAUGAUUUGCACUGUUAUUAGGCUACUUAGGCUGUUUCUUUAUCGUCAAGCCAGCGAUUAGUCGUUUCAUCUGCUAUUCACCCUUUUUGCCCCCUUCUUUUGCAGGCUUCUCAGAUUCAUUUUGCCUCUUCUUCUACUUGUACAUACCCUAGCAGUUCAGCUUGGGGUCUUGGAUUAGCUGCAGCAGUGUCUCUUGCGGUUGCUCAAAUUAUCUUCAGUAUCGCUGCCGGCUGCUUUUGUUACACACUUGGUUCUUAUACAUCAUACCCUGAUAGGAUAUGGGCAAUGAUCAGCUUUUUCAGCUCAUAGUUGGCAUUUGUCGCAGCAUUCUGUAAGUUACUAUCUGAUGCUGCACCCCAUGGACACCACGGGAACGAGAAAAUGUACUUUGGCAACCACUCUUGCUACUUCGUGAAGAGCGGAGUCUUUGCUGAAGCUGCUUCCUGGUCCCUUAUUGCUGUGGUAUGUGGAAACACCUGUUAUCUCGGUUUGGAUUCCGUAAAAAUCAGAAAUAAGGGCGGCAGCGCAAUGGUACACCCGCAGUGCCCCCCACCGCAAUCUCCUCCUCCGAAUGUAUGAGGUGGCAAUUUACUUGAUUACUCUCCCCUAUAAAACUUGUUGAUGCGAAGGGUGAUUAUUUAGGGUAGGGGUUGGGGGAAGUUCCUCCUCACACUUGUUUUUCGCUUUGUUCGUCUGGCCUAACGUAUCCCCCGGCCCGAAUAGGUUUAGAAGAUAGAAAGAGUACAUGUGAAGCAAAUAUGUUUACCAAAAUAUGCAGAUCAUCAAUGGAGGUGAGAUGUUUUUAGUUGUAUGCUGUGCAGAUCAUCACUAAUGUCACCACUGAU